GACGAACGCUGGCGGCGUGCUUAACACAUGCAAGUCGAACGGAAAGGCCCUGCUUUUGUGGGGUGCUCGAGUGGCGAACGGGUGAGUAACACGUGAGUAACCUGCCCUUGACUUUGGGAUAACUUCAGGAAACUGGGGCUAAUACCGUAUAGGAGCUCCUGCUGCAUGGUAGGGGUUGGAAAGUUUCGGCGGUUGGGGAUGGACUCGCGGCUUAUCAGCUUGUUGGUGGGGUAGUGGCUUACCAAGGCUUGGACGGGUAGCCGGCCUGUGAGGGUGACCGGGGACAUUGGGACUAAGGUACGGACCAGAGUCCUACGGGAGGCAGCAGUGGGGAAUAUUGCACAAUGGGAGGAAGCCUGAUGCAGCAACGCCGCGUGCGGGAUGACGGCCUUCGGGUUGUAAACCGCUUUCGCCUGUGACGACGCGUGAGUGACGGUAAUGGGUAAAGAAGCACCGGCUAACUACGUG
RNAcentral lists this ribosomal RNA (468 nucleotides) under uncultured bacterium. RNAcentral describes it as "partial 16S ribosomal RNA". It matches the Rfam family "Bacterial small subunit ribosomal RNA", at positions 28 to 507 of the family's 1533-position model. The record is from RNAcentral.